Molecule: ribosomal RNA, 240 nt
Filed under: Triticum aestivum (bread wheat)
Lineage: Eukaryota; Viridiplantae; Streptophyta; Magnoliopsida; Poales; Poaceae
Description: partial small subunit ribosomal RNA
Source: RNAcentral
AUGGCAAUUGUCCAUACUUACGGGAAGCCUGGCAUCUUCUUGACCAUGACCUGCAACCCUAACUGGGAAGAGAUAACGAAUGAGUUGUUUCCUGGUCAGACAGCGCAAGACCGACCUGAUCUUGUGGCUCGUGUGUUCCAUGGCAAGCUAGAGGCUAUGAAAGAGAUGUUGUUCAAGAAGAAUAUCCUGGGUGUUGUUGUUACACAUGUAUACAUAGUCGAGUUCCAAAAGAGGGGCCUC